Non-coding RNA from Lolium perenne, 782 nucleotides. Lineage: Eukaryota; Viridiplantae; Streptophyta; Magnoliopsida; Poales; Poaceae. The record is from RefSeq and is a predicted model, not a curated record.
UUUCCUCUCGAACGAACAGAGUGGCACGCUAGGGUUCACGUUCACCACCGUGCGCCGCCACCUAGACGCCGCCGCUGCCUACGGCCGGUCGACUCCCCCUUCCAAGGUCCUCGCUAUCUGAAUCCCGCCCCCACCCUUCCGCCCAUCGCAAAGAAUCCCGCCGCCCGACUUCAUCCGUCCGAGCUCAACCACGCCGCCCUUCUUGAAGCAGCAAGACCGCGCUGACGCUCCCGUAGAGGAUAGCGUGGUGUCAGGCUAGGCAUUUCGCUUGAUGAAUACGCGUUCUGCAGGUGGAUUCGUAGACCACCUGAUCCAAUUUCUUGGCCAGAGGAAACGCCCUCGAGGUGUUUGACAAAUUGCUAUCUAGCUGGUUUCGACUCUAGAGUUAUUCACCUGAACGCUCGCCUAGGCUGUCAUUGUCUGAAACUGCGUCGCUGGGGACGGACAAGAAGAGCAGAGAAGCCGCCGAUUCGCUUCCCUCCAUGCUUUCCGUGGUUGUGAGUGAGCUGUUUACGUACAUCCAUCCGAUCACCUGUUUCAUGCCAAUGUCACCUUUAGGGAUCAACUUGGGAAGACCUGCCAGCCAACUGUACUUUGAGGUGCUCUGUGCCAUCAACAAGAAGGUUCAAGAAAAUCUAGAGAUUAUUCGUUUGCACAAAGAUGUACCAGAAAAGGAAAGCAUAUAUGCGCUGUUCAAUUUUUUAACUCUCGAUGCUACCAUUGCCCAGUUCAUCGUGCAGCUGGAGGAAGUAUGUAUAUAUGACUCGCAUCAAUGUAAAUCU